Molecule: ribosomal RNA, 261 nt
Filed under: uncultured prokaryote
Description: partial 16S ribosomal RNA
Rfam family: Bacterial small subunit ribosomal RNA
Source: RNAcentral
UACGGAGGAUCCGAGCGUUAUCCGGAAUUAUUGGGUUUAAAGGGUGCGUAGGCGGCCAUUUAAGUCAGCGGUGAAAUUUUGCAGCUUAACUGUAACAGUGCCGUUGAUACUGUUUGGCUAGGAUUUGGUUGUAGUGUGCGGAAUGUGUGGUGUAGCGGUGAAAUGCUUAGAUAUGACACAGAACACCGAUUGCGAAGGCAGCUUACUGGGAUGCCACUGACACUGAGGCACGAAAGCGUGGGGAUCAAACAGGAUUAGAUA